GUGUUACUGACGCUCAUGCUCGAAGGCGCGGGUAUCGAACAGGAUUAGAUACCCUGGUAGUCCGCGCGGUAAACGAUGGAUGCCCGCUGUCGGGGCGAUUAGCUCCGGCGGCCAAGCGAAAGCAUUAAGCAUCCCACCUGGGGAGUACGCCGGCAACGGUGAAACUCAAAGGAAUUGACGGGGGCCCGCACAAGCGGAGGAACAUGUGGUUUAAUUCGAUGAUACGCGAGGAACCUUACCCGGGCUUGAACUGCAGCGGACGGAUACAGAGAUGUUGACUCCCUUCGGGGCCGCUGUGGAGGUGCUGCAUGGUUGUCGUCAGCUCGUGCCGUGAGGUGUCGGCUUAAGUGCCAUAACGAGCGCAACCCCUCUCGCCAGUUGCCAUCGGGUUAUGCCGGGCACUCUGGGGACACUGCCACCGUAAGGUGUGAGGAAGGUGGGGAUGACGUCAAAUCAGCACGGCCCUUACGUCCGGGGCUACACACGUGUUACAAUGGGGGGCACAGCGCGCCAGCCGCCGGCAACGUCGGCUCAAUCGUGAAAUCCCCCCUCAGUUCGGACUGGGGUCUGCAACCCGACCCCACGAAGCUGGAUUCGCUA
RNAcentral lists this ribosomal RNA (600 nucleotides) under uncultured bacterium. RNAcentral's name for it is "bacterial SSU rRNA". It matches the Rfam family "Bacterial small subunit ribosomal RNA", at positions 734 to 1337 of the family's 1533-position model. The record is from RNAcentral.